RNAcentral lists this ribosomal RNA (460 nucleotides) under uncultured bacterium. RNAcentral's name for it is "partial 16S ribosomal RNA". It matches the Rfam family "Bacterial small subunit ribosomal RNA", at positions 338 to 795 of the family's 1533-position model. The record is from RNAcentral.
CCUACGGGGGACAGCAGUGAGGAAUAUUGGUCAAUGGACGAGAGUCUGAACCAGCCAAGUAGCGUGAAGGAUGACUGCCCUAUGGGUUGUAAACUUCUUUUAUAUGGGAAUAAAACGUUCCACGUGUGGGAUUUUGUCUGUACCAUAUGAAUAAGGAUCGGCUAACUCCGUGCCAGCAACCGCGGUAAUACGGAGGAUCCGACCGUUCUCCGGAUUUUUUGGGUUUAAAGGAUGCGUAGGUGGAUUGUUAAGUCAGUUGUGAAAGUUUGCGGCUGAACCGUAAAAUUGCAGUUGAAACUGGCAGUCUCGAGUUGGAGAGAAGUAUGCGGAAUGCGCGGGGUAGCGGUGAAAUGCAUAGAUAUCGCGCAGAACUCCGAUUGCGAAGGCAGCAUGCCGGCUCCAAACUGACGCUGAGGCACGAAAGCGUGGGUAUCGAACAGGAUUAGAUACCCGAGUAGUC